RNAcentral lists this ribosomal RNA (103 nucleotides) under uncultured eukaryote. Its description in RNAcentral is "partial small subunit ribosomal RNA". The record is from RNAcentral.
UCGCUCCUACCGAUUUCGAGUGAUCCUGUGAACCUUUUGGACCGCAUAGUUCCUCGUGUUCUGUGUGGGAAAUCAAGUAAACAGUAUCACUUAGAGGAAGGAG